This 497-nucleotide ribosomal RNA is filed under the name uncultured bacterium. Its description in RNAcentral is "partial 16S ribosomal RNA". It matches the Rfam family "Bacterial small subunit ribosomal RNA", at positions 28 to 507 of the family's 1533-position model. The record is from RNAcentral.
GAUGAACGCUGGCGGCGUGCCUAAUACAUGCAAGUCGAGCGAACAGACGAGGAUCUUGCUCCUCUGACGUUAGCGGCGGACGUGUGAGUAACACGUGUAUAACCUACCUAUAAGACUGGUAUAUCUUCGGGAAACCGGAGCUAAUACCGGAUAAUAUAUUGAAGCACAUGGGUGAAUAGUGAAAUACGGUUUUGCUGUCACUUCUCGAUGGAUACGAGCCGCAUGGGCUAGUUGUUAAGGUAAAGGGUUAGCAAGGGAACGAUGCGUAGACGAAGUGAGAGAGGGGUCGGCCGCACUGGAAGUGAGACACGGACCAGACUACUGCGGGAGGGAGCAGUAGGGAAUGGUACGCAACGGGCGAGAGUCUUACGGAGCGACGGGGAGUGAGUGAUGAAGGUCUUCGGAGCGUAAAACUGUGUUAUGAGGGAAGAACAAAUGUGUAAGGAAAUAUGCACGUCUUGACGGUAACUAAUCAGAAAGCCACGGCUAACUACGUG